CAGUCGCCACGGUAAUACGUAGGUGGCAAGCGUUAUCCGGAAUUAUUGGGCGUAAAGCGCGCGUAGGCGGUUUCUUAAGUCUGAUGUGAAAGCCCACGGCUCAACCGUGGAGGGUCAUUGGAAACUGGGAAACUUGAGUGCAGAAGAGGAAAGUGGAAUUCCAUGUGUAGCGGUGAAAUGCGCAGAGAUAUGGAGGAACACCAGUGGCGAAGGCGACUUUCUGGUCUGUAACUGACGCUGAUGUGCGAAAGCGUGGGGAUCAAACAGGAUUAGAUACCCCUGUAGUCCCUGUCUCUAUACA
Molecule: ribosomal RNA, 301 nt
Filed under: uncultured bacterium
Lineage: Bacteria
Description: partial 16S ribosomal RNA
Rfam family: Bacterial small subunit ribosomal RNA
Source: RNAcentral